UGACCGCCCCGGGCGUCCGCGUCCUCGCUGCGGGGCCCCGGGGCACGCGGGCCGGGGGAGGCGGGGUCGGGGCCUGCAGGCGGCCCCUGAUGGCCCGGAGCACCGGGGGGAGAGCUCCGGCCAGACCCCGGACUGCUGGAAAGCCAACUGGGCCAACCGAGCUCUGUUGGGAUGAAGUUGCAUCACCAGCUCUGGGAGGGUUACCGUUCAAAACGGACGGGUGGGCUUUGAGGCGUUAGUCCGACGUUUGAGUAGAAAUGCUGAUGGAUCUGUUUUUGAGACGGGGCUUAUUUCUGUGUAACCCAGCUCGGCCUGGAACUUGGCCUGCUGUCGACCUCGGUUUCUUGAGUGCACAAUUACAGCCUUGUGCGGCCACGCCCGGCUGAAGUGAGAUAGAUGCGGGGUGUUAACAGUCUGUGGCUUGUGGUGUUAGCUCAGUGACAGAGCUGUCUGCAUCCAGGUUAAAGGCUCUGUGUUCAAUCCCCAACAGGGGAAAAAAAUUGAAGUAAAGCAACGAAAUUAUACUGUUUUCUUUGACUAAAAAACUUUAAAGGGAUUAAUUAGUAAGUUUGACAUAAAACUAGAUUGUUUAUAGUUUCAGACAGCAGAUAAGAAUCACAAAGUUUGGGGAGAAUAAAACUUCGGGUGCCUGGAAGCCACGUAAGACUUCAGGUCAGACAUUUCCAGACCAACUAGUUAAAUAAUGAGCAAAGGAAAAAACAAAACAAAAAACAAACAAACAAACUAGAGGAUGCUCAUUUAUGAAAUGCUUGAAGCUUAUGUCCUCAUCUGGUUUAGCAUUAAUUAUAUAACUGAUGAAAACUUUAUACUUAAAUUAUAUUUACCCAUUUAGCCAUAAUGAGAAUUUUAAGAUCUCUUAUUUGUAGACAUCAGAACCUUUAACUCCAUCAUUCUUGAAUUGUUUAAUGAGAAAAAGACAGGUUCUACCAGCUAGUGUGUAUUUUAAGCCCAAGCCUUUUAAUUUCAGAUGACGAGGUUUUGCGGAGUGGAGAGAUGGCUCAGUGGUUAGCAGUGCUUCUUGCUCUUAGCACCAGUCUGGUUCCUGGCACCCACGUGGGACGGCUCCGAAGGGCAGCUGGAAACCACUGUAACACGAGAACACUCAAUAACCAUCCAGAGCACAGCCAGAGAAGAAUUUCCUCUACACAGAGGCCUCAGAUUCCACAGCUCAAGGUGUGUCUGGUAGGAAGAACAUAGUACCUGUGGUCUGGUCCUCAGGCGUCAGUGAGGGAGGCAAACAGAUCCCUGCCCCCAGAUAGGUGGCGACCAGGAGUGCCAGCAGUGAAGACUUGUCCAGAUUGUCCCCGGCAGUGAUGCCUUAUUACAGGGCAGGAUGGAGCCAGGUGGAAAAUCCAAGUGAGACAGUGAGAGGAAAAAGGAGAGUCGGG
Molecule: long non-coding RNA, 1409 nt
Organism: Peromyscus maniculatus bairdii (prairie deer mouse)
Lineage: Eukaryota; Metazoa; Chordata; Mammalia; Rodentia; Cricetidae
Source: RefSeq, a predicted model, not a curated record